AAUAAAGUGCCUGAUUAGAAAAGGAUUAUUUUGAUAGAAUAAAUCAUGUGAGUUUCACCUUUAUUA
RNAcentral lists this transfer RNA (66 nucleotides) under Micrambe villosus. RNAcentral describes it as "tRNA-Ile". Lineage: Eukaryota; Metazoa; Arthropoda; Insecta; Coleoptera; Cryptophagidae. The record is from RNAcentral.